RNAcentral lists this unclassified non-coding RNA (26 nucleotides) under Mus musculus (house mouse). Its description in RNAcentral is "oocyte_clustered_small_RNA10332". The record is from RNAcentral. Lineage: Eukaryota; Metazoa; Chordata; Mammalia; Rodentia; Muridae.
UGAGAAGCAUUCAAGGGCUGGGCAAG